This 488-nucleotide long non-coding RNA is filed under the name Apteryx rowi (Okarito brown kiwi). Its description in RNAcentral is "lncRNA (ENSARWG00000003828.1)". The record is from RNAcentral. Lineage: Eukaryota; Metazoa; Chordata; Aves; Apterygiformes; Apterygidae.
CGAGAAACCAAAGAGAAGUAUGAGCUGCUGUUGGUGGUAUCUGACAACGGAGUACCUCAGAGGCAGAAUUUCACGUAUGUCAGCAUUCAAGUACUGGAUGUAAAUGACAACCCUCCUCAGUUUAUGAAAGCACAGUACUCAGCCACUGUACUUGUAGCAACGGCAAAAGAAGGAGUUUCUGUACUGUCAGUGUCUGCUACUGACCUUGACCUUGGGAACAAUUCUGUUAUUUCAUACAGUUUCAUGAACCAUUCUGAUGAUUUCCGUAUAAAUAACCAUACUGGAGAAAUCACUCUCAGCAAUAACUUGGCCCAUAUUACAGCUGAUACAGUCAUUACACUGAUAGUUAUUGCUGCUGACCAUGGAGUUCCUCAGCUUACAUCAAAUGCCUCUGUUACUAUCUACUUGCUGGUAAAUGACACUGACUUCGGACUGACUUUCGAUAGCUCCAGCUAUGAGUUCAGCAUUCCAGAAGAGGAGCCGGUCAG